AGCUAGAGGUGCGGAGAUUAAGAGUACGCAGACUGAGGCCGAAAGCCAUAGACGUCUGAUGGAAAGGAUGAUCCGCCGAAGCCGUUUUGUCGCAGAAACGGCUGGGGGCCUAUCAAACAGGUAGGUCACUGUCUUUGUAAAAAAUGCCAUUUUACAAAGGAGCACUAUCU
This 170-nucleotide non-coding RNA is filed under the name Holdemania massiliensis. RNAcentral describes it as "Lysine riboswitch". It matches the Rfam family "Lysine riboswitch aptamer". Rfam says of the family: Riboswitches are metabolite binding domains within certain messenger RNAs that serve as precision sensors for their corresponding targets. Allosteric rearrangement of mRNA structure is mediated by ligand binding, and this results in modulation of gene expression. This family includes riboswitches that sense lysine in a number of genes involved in lysine metabolism, including lysC. Lineage: Bacteria; Bacillati; Bacillota; Erysipelotrichia; Erysipelotrichales; Erysipelotrichaceae. The record is from RNAcentral.